GAUGAACGCUGGCGGCGUGCCUCAUACAUGCAAGUCGAGCGAACAGACGAGGAGCUUGCUCCUCUGACGUUAGCGGCGGACGGGUGAGUAACACGUGGAUAACCUACCUAUAAGACUGGGAUAACUUCGGGAAACCGGAGCUAAUACCGGAUAAUAUAUUGAACCGCAUGGUUCAAUAGUGAAAGACGGUUUUGCUGUCACUUAUAGAUGGAUCCGCGCCGCAUUAGCUAGUUGGUAAGGUAACGGCUUACCAAGGCAACGAUGCGUAGCCGACCUGAGAGGGUGAUCGGCCACACUGGAACUGAGACACGGUCCAGACUCCUACGGGAGGCAGCAGUAGGGAAUCUUCCGCAAUGGGCGAAAGCCUGACGGAGCAACGCCGCGUGAGUGAUGAAGGUCUUCGGAUCGUAAAACUCUGUUAUUAGGGAAGAACAAAUGUGUAAGUAACUAUGCACGUCUUGACGGUACCUAAUCAGAAAGCCACGGCUAACUACGUG
This 497-nucleotide ribosomal RNA is filed under the name uncultured bacterium. RNAcentral's name for it is "partial 16S ribosomal RNA". It matches the Rfam family "Bacterial small subunit ribosomal RNA", at positions 28 to 507 of the family's 1533-position model. The record is from RNAcentral.